AGAACGAACGCUGGCGGCGUGCUUAACACAUGCAAGUCGAACGCGAAAGGGACUUCGGUCUUGAGUAAAGUGGCGCACGGGUGAGUAACGCGUAGAUAACCUGUCUUCAUGUCUGGAAUAAUACGCCGAAAGGGGUACUAAUACCGGAUAUUCUUGCUUUUCAUAAGUUAUGCAAGCAAAGGUGGCCUCUGCAUAUGCUACUGCAUGAAGAGGGGUCUGCGUACCAUUAGCUAGUAGGUGGGGUAAUGGCCUACCUAGGCGACGAUGGUUAGCGGGUCUGAGAGGAUGAUCCGCCACACUGGCACUGGAACACGGGCCAGACUCCUACGGGAGGCAGCAGUGAGGAAUAUUGCGCAAUGGGGGAAACCCUGACGCAGCGACGCCGCGUGAGUUGAGGAAGGCCUUCGGGUCGUAAAGCUCUGUCAAGAGGAAAGAAGUGUACAAUGGCUAAUACCUGUUGUAUUUGACGGUACCUCUAAAGGAAGCACCGGCUAACUCCGUGCCAGCCGCCGC
Molecule: ribosomal RNA, 513 nt
Filed under: uncultured bacterium
Lineage: Bacteria
Description: bacterial SSU rRNA
Rfam family: Bacterial small subunit ribosomal RNA
Source: RNAcentral